CCCUUAGAUGUUCUGGGCUGCACGCGCGCUACACUGAUGCGCUCAACGAGUUUAUGACCUUGCCCGGAAGGGUUGGGUAAUCUUCUUAAAACGCAUCGUGAUGGGGAUAGAUUAUUGCAAUUAUUAAUCUUCAACGAGGAAUUCCUAGUAAGCGCGAGUCAUCAGCUCGUGCUGAUUACGUCCCUGCCCUUUGUACACACCGCCCGUUGCUCCUACCGAUUGAGUGAUCCGGUGAAUAAUUCGGACUGCAGCAGUGUUCGGUCACGAACGUUGCAGCGGAAAGUUUAGUGAACCUUAUCACUUAGAGGAAGGAGAAGUCGUAACA
RNAcentral lists this ribosomal RNA (325 nucleotides) under uncultured eukaryote. RNAcentral describes it as "partial 18S ribosomal RNA". It matches the Rfam family "Eukaryotic small subunit ribosomal RNA", at positions 1470 to 1796 of the family's 1831-position model. The record is from RNAcentral.